UACGUAGGGGGCAAGCGUUAUCCGGAUUCACUGGGCGUAAAGGGAGCGCAGGCGGCAUGGCAAGUCUGAUGUGAAAACCCGGGGCCCAACCCCGGGAGUGCAUUGGAAACUGCCAGGCCGGAGUGUCGGAGGGGUAAGCGGAAUUCCUAGUGUAGCGGUGAAAUGCGUAGAUAUUAGGAGGAACACCAGUGGCGAAGGCGGCUUACUGGACGACUACUGACGCUGAGGCUCGAAAGCGUGGGGAGCAAACAGG
RNAcentral lists this ribosomal RNA (253 nucleotides) under uncultured bacterium. Its description in RNAcentral is "partial 16S ribosomal RNA". It matches the Rfam family "Bacterial small subunit ribosomal RNA", at positions 524 to 776 of the family's 1533-position model. The record is from RNAcentral.